Molecule: ribosomal RNA, 253 nt
Filed under: uncultured bacterium
Lineage: Bacteria
Description: partial 16S ribosomal RNA
Rfam family: Bacterial small subunit ribosomal RNA
Source: RNAcentral
UACGUAGGGUGCAAGCGUUGUCCGGAAUUAUUGGGCGUAAAGAGCUCGUAGGCGGUUUGUCGCGUCGAAUGUGAAAUCCCGGGGCUCAACUCCGGGUCUGCAUUCGAUACGGGCAGACUAGAGUUCGGUAGGGGAGUCUGGAAUUCCUGGUGUAGCGGUGAAAUGCGCAGAUAUCAGGAGGAACACCGGUGGCGAAGGCGGGACUCUGGGCCGAUACUGACGCUGAGGAGCGAAAGCGUGGGGAGCGAACAGG